UACAGAGGCCCCAAGCAUUACCCGGAAUCACUGGGCGUAAAGGGUGCGUAGGCGGUCAUAUUAGUCGGGUGUUAAAUCCCAGGGCUUAACCCUGGAAUCGCGCCCGAAACGGUAUGACUAGGAGAAGUGAGAGGUCUAGGGAACUCAAGGUGUAGGGGUGAAAUCCGUUGAUAUCUUGGGGAACACCAAAUGCGAAGGCACUAGACUGGCACUCUCUCGACGCUGAGGCACGAAAGCGUGGGUAGCGAAUGGG
RNAcentral lists this ribosomal RNA (253 nucleotides) under uncultured bacterium. Its description in RNAcentral is "partial 16S ribosomal RNA". It matches the Rfam family "Bacterial small subunit ribosomal RNA", at positions 524 to 776 of the family's 1533-position model. The record is from RNAcentral.